RNAcentral lists this small RNA (1830 nucleotides) under Pan troglodytes (chimpanzee). Its description in RNAcentral is "processed transcript". The record is from RNAcentral. Lineage: Eukaryota; Metazoa; Chordata; Mammalia; Primates; Hominidae.
UUUCUGCUCUCCGCCCGUGUGGAGUGGUGGGGGCCUGGGUGGGAAUGGGCGUGUGCCAGCGCACGCGCGCUCCCUGGAAGGAGAGGUCUCAGCUAGAACGAGCGGCCCUAGGUUUUCGGAAGGGAGGAUCAGGGAUGUGGAGGAGCCGCCGCCCCUCUGUCACCUGGAGCAACUGUGGCGCUGCUCCUCCCCGCUGGCCCAGAGUUUCUGUGGCUCUGGUUCGGGCUGGCCAAGGCCGGCCUGCGCACUGCCUUUGUGCCCACCGCCCUGCGCCGGGGCCCCCUGCUGCACUGCCUCCGCAGCUGCGGCGCGGGCGCGCUGGUGCUGGCGCCAGAGUUUCUGGAGUCCCUGGAGCCGGACCUGCCCGCCCUGAGAGCCAUGGGGCUCCACCUGUGGGCUGCAGGCCCAGGAACCCACCCUGCUGGAAUUAGCGAUUUGCUGGCUGAAGUGUCCGCUGAAGUGGAUGGGCCAGUGCCAGGAUACCUCUCUUCCCCCCAGAGCAUAACAGACACGUGCCUGUACAUCUUCACCUCUGGCACCACGGGGCUCCCCAAGGCUGCUCGGAUCAGUCAUCUGAAGAUCCUGCAAUGCCAGGGCUUCUAUCAGCUGUGUGGUGUCCACCAGGAAGAUGUGAUCUACCUCGCCCUCCCACUCUACCACAUGUCCGGUUCCCUGCUGGGCAUCGUGGGCUGCAUGGGCAUUGGGGCCACAGUGGUGCUGAAGUCCAAGUUCUCGGCUGGUCAGUUCUGGGAAGAUUGCCAGCAGCACAGGGUGACGGUGUUCCAGUACAUUGGGGAGCUGUGCCGAUACCUUGUCAACCAGCCCCCGAGCAAGGCAGAACGUGGCCAUAAGGUCCGGCUGGCAGUGGGCAGCGGGCUGCGCCCAGAUACCUGGGAGCGUUUUGUGCGGCGCUUCGGGCCCCUGCAGGUGCUGGAGACAUAUGGACUGACAGAGGGCAACGUGGCCACCAUCAACUACACAGGACAGCGAGGCGCUGUGGGGCGUGCUUCCUGGCUUUACAAGGAGAGCCAAUUCGGGACCCCCGGGGGCACUGUAUGGCCACAUCUCCAGGUGAGCCAGGGCUGCUGGUGGCCCCGGUAAGCCAGCAGUCCCCAUUCCUGGGCUAUGCUGGCGGGCCAGAGCUGGCCCAGGGGAAGUUGCUAAAGGAUGUCUUCCGGCCUGGGGAUGUUUUCUUCAACACUGGGGACCUGCUGGUCUGCGAUGACCAAGGUUUUCUCCGCUUCCAUGAUCGUACUGGAGACACCUUCAGGUGGAAGGGGGAGAAUGUGGCCACAACCGAGGUGGCAGAGGUCUUCGAGGCCCUGGAUUUUCUUCAGGAGGUGAACGUCUAUGGAGUCACUGUGCCAGGGCAUGAAGGCAGGGCUGGAAUGGCAGCCCUAGUUCUGCGUCCCCCCCACUCUUUGGACCUUAUGCAGCUCUACACCCACGUGUCUGAGAACUUGCCACCUUAUGCCUGGCCCCGAUUCCUCAGGCUCCAGGAGUCUUUGGCCACCACAGAGACCUUCAAACAGCAGAAAGUUCGGAUGGCAAAUGAGGGCUUCGACCCCAGCACCCUGUCUGACCCACUGUACGUUCUGGACCAGGCUGUAGGUGCCUACCUGCCCCUCACAACUGCCCGGUACAGCGCCCUCCUGGCAGGAAACCUUCGAAUCUGAGAACUUCCACACCUGAGGCACCUGAGGGAGGGACUCUGUGGGGUGGGGGCCAUUGCAGGUGUACUGGGCUGUCAGGGAUCUUUUCUAUACCAGAACUGCGGUCACUAUUUUGUAAUAAAUGUGGCUGGAGCUGAUCCAGCUGUCUCUGACCUAC